RNAcentral lists this small RNA (125 nucleotides) under Marmota monax (woodchuck). The record is from RNAcentral. Lineage: Eukaryota; Metazoa; Chordata; Mammalia; Rodentia; Sciuridae.
GCCGGGUAAGGUGGUGCACACCUGUAAUCCCAGCAGCUUGGGAGGUUGAAGCAGGAGGAUCAUGAGUUCAAAGCCAGCCUCAACAAUGGUAAGGCACUAAGCAAUUCAGUGAGACCCUGUUGCUA